CCUCAUCGCAUGGUGGGGGGUGGAAAGCUUUUGUGGUUUUGGAUGGACUCGCGGCCUAUCAGCUUGUUGGUGGGGUAAUGGCCUACCAAGGCGACGACGGGUAGCCGGCCUGAGAGGGUGACCGGCCACACUGGGACUGAGACACGGCCCAGACUCCUACGGGAGGCAGCAGUGGGGAAUAUUGCACAAUGGGCGCAMGCY
Molecule: ribosomal RNA, 201 nt
Filed under: Arthrobacter sp. Le2-1
Lineage: Bacteria; Bacillati; Actinomycetota; Actinomycetes; Micrococcales; Micrococcaceae
Description: partial 16S ribosomal RNA
Rfam family: Bacterial small subunit ribosomal RNA
Source: RNAcentral